RNAcentral lists this ribosomal RNA (301 nucleotides) under uncultured bacterium. RNAcentral's name for it is "partial 16S ribosomal RNA". It matches the Rfam family "Bacterial small subunit ribosomal RNA", at positions 509 to 807 of the family's 1533-position model. The record is from RNAcentral.
CAGUCGCCGCGGGAAUACGAAGGGGGCGAGCGUUGCUCGGAAUGACUGGGCGUAAAGGGCGCGUAGGUGGCGUGCACAGUCAGAUGUGAAAUUCCUGGGCUCAACCUGGGGGCUGCAUUUGAUACGUGCGUGCUAGAGUGUGGAAGAGGGUCGUGGAAUUCCCAGUGUAGAGGUGAAAUUCGUAGGUAUUGGGAAGAACACCGGUGGCGAAGGCGGCGACCUGGUCCAUUACUGACGCUGAGGCGCGAAAGCGUGGGGAGCAAACAGGAUUAGAUACCCCAGUAGUCCCUGUCUCUUAUAC